AGAGUUUGAUCAUGGCUCAGAAUGAACGCUGGCGGCGUGCCUAACACAUGCAAGUCGAGCGCGAAAGUGUCCUUCGGGACACGAGUAGAGCGGCGGACGGGUGAGUAACGCGUAGACAACCUACCCUGGGGUACGGGAUAACACUUCGAAAGGGGUGCUAAUACCGUAUGAGCUAUAUACUACUGAGGUAGUAUAUGGGAAAGCGUGCCUCUGGAACAAGCACGCGCCCUGGGAUGGGUCUGCGUCCCAUUAGCUAGUUGGUGGGGUAACGGCCUACCAAGGCGACGAUGGGUAGCCGGCCUGAGAGGGUGGUCGGCCACACUGGGACUGGAACACGGCCCAGACUCCUACGGGAGGCAGCAGUGGGGAAUAUUGGGCAAUGGGCGGAAGCCUGACCCAGCGACGCCGUGUGAGGGAAGAAGGCCUUCGGGUCGUAAACCUCUGUCAGUGGGGAAGAAAGGGUAUGGGUUAAUAGCCUGUACUUUUGACGGUACCCACAGAGGAAGCACCGGCCAACUCCGUGCCAGCAGCCGCGGUAAUACGGAGGGUGCGAGCGUUAUUCGGAAUCACUGGGCGUAAAGCGCGCGUAGGCGGCUGAUCGAGUCAGGUGUGAAAUCCCACGGCUCAACCGUGGAAUAGCACUUGAUACUGGUUGGCUAGAGUCUGGCAGAGGGUGGCGGAAUUCCCGGUGUAGGGGUGAAAUCCGUAGAUAUCGGGAGGAACACCAGAGGCGAAGGCGGCCACCUGGGCCAAGACUGACGCUGAGGUGCGAAAGCGUGGGGAGCGAACAGGAUUAGA
This 798-nucleotide ribosomal RNA is filed under the name uncultured bacterium. RNAcentral describes it as "bacterial SSU rRNA". It matches the Rfam family "Bacterial small subunit ribosomal RNA", at positions 8 to 782 of the family's 1533-position model. The record is from RNAcentral.